UUAUUUGUGGUUCGUAAACCUCCCACACAAAAAAACUAAGGACAC
Non-coding RNA from Mannheimia haemolytica M42548, 45 nucleotides. Lineage: Bacteria; Pseudomonadati; Pseudomonadota; Gammaproteobacteria; Pasteurellales; Pasteurellaceae. The record is from Rfam.